UACGUAGGGUGCGAGCGUUAAUCGGAAUUACUGGGCGUAAAGCGUGCGCAGGCGGUUCGUUAAGUUCGUUGUGAAAGCCCCGGGCUCAACCUGGGAACUGCAAUGGAAACUGGCGAGCUUGAGUGUGGCAGAGGGGGGUGGAAUUCCUGGUGUAGCGGUGAAAUGCGCAGAUAUCAGGAGGAACACCGAUGGCGAAGGCAGGUCUCUGGGCAUUAACUGACGCUGAGGAGCGAAAGCAUGGGGAGCGAACAGG
Molecule: ribosomal RNA, 253 nt
Filed under: uncultured bacterium
Lineage: Bacteria
Description: partial 16S ribosomal RNA
Rfam family: Bacterial small subunit ribosomal RNA
Source: RNAcentral